CCAGACCCCAGCGCCGCAGCCUGACGCAGCCCACCGCGUGAAGGAUGAAUGGCUUUUGCUUGUAAACUUCUUUUUUGAGGGAAUAAAUAUGAAGGUACCUCAAGAAUAAGCAUCGGCUAACUACGUGCCAGCAGCCGCGGUAAAUUUAUG
Molecule: ribosomal RNA, 150 nt
Filed under: uncultured bacterium
Lineage: Bacteria
Description: partial 16S ribosomal RNA
Rfam family: Bacterial small subunit ribosomal RNA
Source: RNAcentral